UUUUUUUGGCACAACGUAAAGUGGAAUUGGAUGCACACUUCAAAGAAAAAUCCCCCCCCCUCCCCCUCAAAAUUUAUCAAACUGAAAACCUCCAUAGCAAACUUCUCUCUUUGCUCUCGACCAAAGAUCCAAAACCAUCGAACUGGAAAUCUAGCGCCCUCAACCAAAAUUUCUUGCGAAAUCUUCGCUCAAUCACUUGUAAUCCAGCACCCUCAGCUCAUAAUACUGAAAGCCCAGAAGAACCUCACUCAUCUCGCUCCGAAUAAAAUCUCAUUUCAUAUCUAAAACCUAUGGGGGACCUCCCUCUGAAAACCUAUGCUCUCCCUCUCUCUGGGUGUCUCUUCAUCGUUGUUGUCUCUCUCUCUCUCUCUCUCUCCUCGACGGCACCGGCACUCUCCCUCUCCCCUCGACGGUCGACGACGCUCGCUCUUCUCGACAAGUGACGGCUAAGUCCCUCUCUCAAAUCAAGAACUUGAUCAGUUCCUCUCUCUCAGAUUCGAUCAAUAGCAUUCUGGGUUUUUAAUUCUUGUUCUUUUGUGAAAUAAUCUACUAGUAAUAUAUUGUAUAUCUGCUAGUUUCUGAGACUGCUCGUUUCGUUGGUUUUGAUGUGAUGAUGAGUUUUGAAUUUUGAUUAUGUGUGUAUGUUUUGCUUUGAAUUGAUAUUUGAUGAUAUAGAACGGUAAAUCUGAUAGUAAUUGCUUUGAAAUUAUUGUUGAACUAUGCUCUGUGCCUCUGGGUAUAUAGAUCCUCAGUGAAACUUUUGAAUUUUUGGGGGUUUGAUUUAUGUUAAGAUUGCAGGCUACGAUUGGAAUUGAUUUUCUGUCAAAAACGAUGUAGCUUAAAGAUCGGACAGUUCGUUUGCAGUUUUCGUUUGAAGAUUGGUAAUCUGAACUCUUAGAAUUAUGGAAGUCCUGAUUUGGUACAAGUACUAUGGAAACAUGAUAGACUCUUUGCAAAAGACUGGAUUUUUUUGGCCCCCUUAGCUCUAUAUAUGACUCGGUUAUCUGCAUUUUCAAUGUCCCCUUAAGAAUUAAGAUGGUCACUGAAGAAAUUUUAAACUUAUCUUGGCAGUACACAACUAUAUAUUGUAUUUGCUUCUCCUUGCAUACCUACCUUUUGACAGGACUGGACCACAACCCAUUGAUUUAGAAUGUGUUUUGCUCAUAAUACGUCGUAACCUUGAGUAUCCUCUGAUCAUUUUGUUGCUUGUUCUGUACAGAUUGGUGAGGAAGAUUGUGAACCUGGACAAUCAUAUUGCAGGAGCCAUAAGUGUGCAAUAUUGUCUGUCGGUUUACACCUGAUGCCAAAACUGUAAAGCAGUUUAAAGAGAAGAUAGAUGAUGAAUAUUGAGUGAACAUAACAAGCAUUUACUGUCCUUAGCUGAAGACAGCUAGGGAAGCAGCAAAAUUUGCAGUUACAGGAAGUGCUAUUGGAGUUGUAUCAACUGCUGGACUUGUGUGGAAAUAUUCAAGGAGUUUGCAUGGUAAUCAACUUCCUCUUCUUUUCAGGGUUAAUUAACGUACUCUUCUGUUUGAACAAACUUGCCCCCUAUUGCUUCGAGUUUUUACUAAGGUGAAAGAAACAGUUGGGAUUGAUGAUAUAAGAAAGAGAUACCAUGAACUUGGUAUGUUUAUGAAUUGGCUUCCUCUGCAGAGAGUGAGUUGGCUGGGGUACAACAAGAGUUUCUCAAGGUGUGGUACUUUCAUAUGGUAUUGCUGAUAGAAGAGAAAAGGGGAGCUGGGGUAGAAGCUCGAGAGCUUAAGAAAGAUGAUGAAGUGUGGCUGGUCGGUAGAGCAGUUUAGAGCACUAGAUGAUCUGGUAU
Long non-coding RNA from Rosa chinensis, 1822 nucleotides. RefSeq lists it as uncharacterized. NCBI's taxonomy places the organism in Eukaryota, Viridiplantae, Streptophyta, Magnoliopsida, Rosales, Rosaceae. The transcript is spliced from 5 exons. The record is from RefSeq and is a predicted model, not a curated record.